Mercenaria mercenaria is the source of this 1565-nucleotide long non-coding RNA. RefSeq lists it as uncharacterized. The transcript has 3 exons. Lineage: Eukaryota; Metazoa; Mollusca; Bivalvia; Venerida; Veneridae. The record is from RefSeq and is a predicted model, not a curated record.
UCCUUUUUACAGUCCAAAUAUUAUUGCUCAUUCGGUAGCAAAGAUGUUGACACCACAUGUCGUCUGAUGAGUUUUACCGGAUCAAAUAAGGUUUUGUCAUUGUAUUCCCUGAAAGGAAUGAGAGGAGAAAAGAAACUGGAAGACCUGGCUAUCUGCAGGCCGAUGCUUGCUGCUGGUCAAUAUUGAAUGCUCUUAUGAAAACUCAUAAGACAAUAACAAAAAAAAGAAGCUGAGGAUGCUGUUUUUAAAACAUGUUCCAUUCAAAAAAGGUGGAUUGAAAUUUAAGAAAGGUGUGACGGGUGCGGCUACUGCAGGCAGGGAGGAUUUGACGGUCAGCCAGAGGAUUUGGAGAUAUACUGUAAUGUCUUUAAUGUGGACUUGCGUGUGAUUUAAGUUUUCACAAGGGUUUUAGUGUGUGUGAAAGUAUGUCAGUUUUCAAAAUUGAGCUAUGACAAUUUGCUCAAAUUACAUAACUCAAAGAACUUUGAAGCGGUCUUGUUGACGUCAUGAGCUUUUGUUUAAUACCAGUAUUGGUGAUAUAGGCCCAUGAUUAUAUACUGUAGAAAGUGAACAAGUUCACUGCUCGAUACAGAUAAUCAUAUGGCCUGAUCUCUGAAUGAUAUUUAUGAACCAAAAGAAGGCAUAAAAUAAAAACUAAAUUAUUGAUAUUGUUAAACUAGAUCUGGGCCUGUAUUCAUAAAGGAUCUUUAAUAGUAAAAAAAAUAUCUAUAACUUAAUACUCUUCAAUUAAGUCAAAAACUUUUCACGCUCUUUAAAUAUUUCACAGCAUGACUACAAACUUCUAUAUUAUACCAAAGAAAAAUAGAUUGGCAACUUGAAAGGCGUAUAGAGCAAAUCUCACCAACAUCACAUGGCAACUGAAUGAGAUCUCCUUUUAGUAAGCAUAUUUGGUCACAAUUGAUCGUCAGCAAAUGCUUUGAGAUAAGAAAACUUGAUCGUUCGUGUAUUAUGCUAAUGGUACUUUUUGAAUAAUGUUAUCAGUAUUUUCUACACAGGAAAGCAAUGAAUUUUUGAUUGGAAGUCUGAGAAAUCAACAGUUGUUGUAAAAUUGGCUCGAUUCGGUUUAUUACGCGCCAGUGUAACAUUAAAUACUGACCACGUUGAAAAGUGACCCCGUCAACAUUUCAACAUCAAAGUUUUAUCAAAGGGUCAUUUUUCAACGUUGAGAAUUGACCCCGUCAACAUUUCAACAUUAAAUUUUGAUCAAAAGAUCCUUUUUCAACGUUGAGAAAUGGCCCCGCCAACAUUUCAACAUUAAAUUUUGAUCAAUGGGGUCAAUAUUUAAUGUUACACCGGCUAUACCGACAGUUAAAUACUUCAGUAAGCUACGGAAUCCUGUUUCCGCCAUCGACUUUUCGACUAGACAGAAACGCGAAAACUUGAAAUUAAGCAUCUAAUUUAUACUUUUCGUGCUAUAAAUUUACCGCGAAAAGUCGAAAUCUUGAAGUUUUUGACCCGACAAUUGUCGUGCAAACGUCAACUUUUCGACCUAGAAUCAAGCGCGAAAAGUAGAAAUUAAGAGAGCUAAUUUCAACUUCUCGUGC